UCCUAGAUUUCACUUCAGGAAAGUUAUAGACUGAAUAAAUAAUUAUGGCGGUUUCCUCGACAGAUUGAUGUUUUGGACUGAUUGGGGGAGCUCACCGAAAAUCGAGAAGUCAGCUUUAAAUGGCACCAAGCGUUUUGCAAUUGUAACAACCAAUCUUACGAGGCCAUACGGUAUCACUCUUGAUCGUCGAAACAAACUUGUUUUUUGGGUGGACAAUGGAAUGGACGUAAUAGAAUCCGUGGAAUACAGUGGAAGCAACAGAAAACUCCUCUUUCAGCGACGAGGAAUGUUUUUUUGGGGAGUAACUUUCACCUCGUCGUACCUGUUCAUCAAUGAAUGGCGAAAAAGUUGGGUUUCCCAAAUGAAUGCCUAUAAUGGAACAAUUGUGAAUAAUAUGACAACCGGUGGCAUUUUUCCGAGCGGACUUAUCGCAUUUGACAGCUCGCUGCAGUUAGCAGUUGCAGUAACUACGUGUCCAGUGUUACGUGCACCGACUGAUGGAGCAGUACUUGGAUGUCCUGGAAAUGCAGGAGCAAAUUAUGAUACAGUCUGUCAGUUCACGUGUAACAGUGGCUAUAUAGGUUAUGGUUCUCAAGAAAGAAGAUGUCAACACGAUGGAACUUGGAGCGGAAAAGAGUUUGUUUGUCAAACUAUUACUUGCACUUUACCGACAAAUGGUGUACUCUUGGGAUGUAAAACAAACACGAAAGAGAUGUUUUAUAACGCAGAGUGCAGAUUCUCUUGUAAGGAAAGAGUCGAAGAGAUGAGUCCAACGGUGAGGAUCUGUACAGAAAAUGGAAGCUGGACCGGGACCGACCUUGUCUGCAAAGGUAUAGCAUUUGCGAACACUUACUUCUGGAGAGCUUUUUUCUCUUGACCCAAACGUACUGAGGAUCUUGGAUCUGAGACGAAUCAGUAGUAUUUCUAAGGUUGGCUACGAUUGUAGAUUGCGACAGUCGAUCUAACAUCGUGGUAAUAAUCAUUUUUCCAUUGCCUACGCUGGCUAUCUCAUGUAAGUAUGUUUCAGGAUCAAUCGAUGUAACUUGCGAUCUUACAUUACGAAUGGAUACAAGUUCGUCUUUAGUAUUUUUAAGGUUUGCAGCGGUUGUAGAUCACAAUGGUCGAUCUAACAACUUCGCAGCAAUCUUUUAUGUGGCUGGCAUGCACAUGCAGCUGAUCCAAUCAUACAUCUGCGCUUGGAUCACUCGAUUUACGAUCGUAGAAUGGAUCGUCACUGUCUCAAUUUGUUCAAGACUCAGUUACGAUACAAUUGCCUCGUCCUCCUUAUUCACUUUUAUCAGUGCUACUGAUAUUGAAUAAGAGAUGAAAUUUGCAGCUCUGGGGACUUUCUGGUUGUAAUUCAAGUACUAAUCCCAUGUUGAGCUUGUUUCGUUUACAGCGUAGGCUGUUAUUGCAAACGACUUAUGAUUCUAUCAGUAGGCAUCUUAAUGCAUUUGAUCCAGAUCGAGAAGCUACGAGGUCACUCUAGCUUGCCAGAGACUUAACUGACAACAACAACAACAACAACAAAAACAGUCUUUAUUUGCACUCACUCUUGCUCAGAAAAAGUUACAACAAAGAGAAUACUAAAAAGUAUGAGUUAGAGUACUGGCUGCCUGGAAUAACCAUAAGGGCUAGCGGAGCCAGGCAGCCAGUUGACAUCAGUAUUAAAUAAAUAUAAAUUAUAAACUAUAGGUCAGCAAGAAAACUGAAGUAAAAAUGCACACGUAAAAGAAAAAAUAUAUAUAAAAAGGAAGGGAGAGAAGAGGAAAAAUGCUAUCUAAGCUAGGAAGGAAGUCUGAAAUAGUAAAAUUUGCAUAUAAAUAGAUAACAUGAAGACAUGGAAAGGUGACAGAAUUUAACAAAAUACUAAUUUACUGGUAAUUUUGAAAACAACAUAACUGCUUAUGAGAAAAGAAGUAACUAAUAAUCUUUGACAAGAUCACAUAUUACUGAGUCCUUAAAGUUUGAGAUAGAGAAGGUUUUCAAAUUUUCAGUAUUAACUGACGGUAAUAAUUGCUGGUGUGAGAUUCAGAUGAUAGCUUACGGUCGAACAGUUUGGUCAUGAACCUUGAGGACGUACAUCAAUUUGAGUCAGGUGCAUGAGGACUUGUUUAAGCUGUCGGAGGAGUUAAAAAAAGGACAAAACAAUAAAACCAAAAGAAAAUAAAGAGCAAAAAAAAGGUAUUUGGAAAGCUAAAUCAUAAUUUUCAGAUUUUAUUUUUCCGCACAGUUUGAGGUUCGGCGGAAAACGAAGAGUUUCAGGGCACCGAUCAGAAUACCUUGCCACCCUGAUCGGGAGAAGGGGAAAAGUGAAGGAGCCAUUUAAUUUGUGGACUUAUCGUAUGUAAACGAAAGAAUUACAAAGCGGGUAAUUUUCUAACUGGAGCAUUGAUUUCGUUCUGCGAAGCCGAUUGCGAAAUUUCCGUGGUAAAUAUAGUCAUAUUGUCCUCAAAAGAUAUUCUACGUAUGUACCUGAAGUGAAAACAGUUUGUCUCUCUUUUCUUUAUCGAUAGCAAAGGCAGCUCGAUCUAGAGUUGGGAAAUUUUCCUUUAGUUUUUCCAAAAUAUAGCUGAUCGAUUUCUGCCAGAUUCUUAGUGAAGAUAAAUCAACUGAAUAGCACAUUUCCGAAUUACCUUUGGCCUCGUUUUAAAAGCGACUACUGGUACUACUCCAUUCAUUCUAAGUAAAUUUAACUCUUUUUGAAAAAGAGGCCGAAGGUAAUUCGGAAACGGCCCUUUGUUGGUGGUUACUAAUCUCGUACUCAGAUCCUAACGCGUAACUGUAACUUGGCGCUGGAAGGCCUUGAUACCAGACUUGUGGUGUUCUAAUAUAGCCCCUCUUAAGGAAAAGCUCUCCGGUGUCCGCUGCCGACUAAUGGUAUACCUUUGGAAUGUAACUCUAGUAGUACGACAGAGAUGUGAUAUGACGCAGAAUGCAGGAACUCUUGCAUGGAAGAGCCUGGGGUGAUUGGGUCAACUGUAAGGAGAUGCAAUGCAAAUGGCAAAUGGAAAGGAACGGACCACGUCUGCAAAAGUAUAAGAACUGCGAACAUAUAUUAUAAUCAGUUGAAACAAUCAUUGUGAUUCUUCAGGUAUUGUGGUCAGUUACACUGUCGAUGCCGCAAAUAGAUGCUGCGCUUGUGCCUAGUAAUAGAUCGUAAAUGACGUCAAAAUGUGGUAAAGAAACAAUGUGCCAUGUGUGUCCAAUGGAACAAAGCUUGGAUGGCCAGGCAAUACAGCAGUUUAUGUUUUCUCUUUCUUUUACUAUUUUGUCCAUCAUAUAUAAUACAUUUGUCACAGCGACUAUAUAUUGAUCUAUAACUACCUGUUCAUCACAUGAGAUGGUCUGAGACCCGAGGAUGUUCGAAGGAGCCCUCUAAGGAAGAUCUCCACAUCUCCAUAUCGCAGUUAAAAUCAACUUAAAGAAAAUGAACGGAUGUAAAUUAUUCCUUAAGUCUUAAGAACUGAUGGAUGAAUCUUUUAAGCAAAAACACCCUCUAAUAUAACUCGUCUUUAUGAUUUUUUAUUUCGUUAAUGUCGUCGAGCUUAAAUAUUGCAAACAUACUGAAACCAGCGCUUGACUAAGAACAACCUACAUCAGCUAAGAGAUUUGAAAUGGUUCGUUCAUGAUGUUCAUUCAUUCAUUUUGUUUUACCAUUACCAGAAAAAAAUUAACCGAAUGCAAAAUUUAUGAUGCAUCAAAGAUAAAAAGAACUGUUCGGGCUAAAUUAAGUUAAAAAUCAAAGGAACUGAAGAGGUAACAGCAAGGAAUCCUAUUAGAAGCCGGGGGCUUAUAAAGUAUAGGCUUCCUUAAACUAUAGUUUAAACCAUAUAAAUCAAAGGUGCUGAACGAAAAUUUAGAUUACGUUGAAAAAAAAAAGAAAGAAAGAAAAGAAAAAAAAAAAGAAAAGGUGUGUAGCUUAACAAAGAAUACAAAUAACUAAGAAAGAAGAAUUUUUUUUCAGCCUUUUGCUAAACAAGCUGAUGCUUUCAGAGUAUUGAAUUUCCCGACGAAAAACUUAGGACCUUGAAACCGAAUUGAAAAUUUUCGAAAAUUAGUUUUCCCUAGGAUUUCUCUAUGUCCCCUAGGAUUGGAAUGAAAAUGUGAGUAAUCACGCUAUUGAGACUGUGUAUUUCAGAAUUACUUCAUGAUUGCGCGUUGGAUGUGAGAUCGCAAAUAGUCAACGAAGCGCACGGCAUAAACUUGUAUGUAACCAAUGCAUUGUCAUUUCCGGAGAAGACGUAUUUGUUUUAUCAAUACAAUAAUUAAAGUAAAUAUUUAACAAA
Unclassified non-coding RNA from Stylophora pistillata, 4289 nucleotides. The record is from RefSeq and is a predicted model, not a curated record. NCBI's taxonomy places the organism in Eukaryota, Metazoa, Cnidaria, Anthozoa, Scleractinia, Pocilloporidae.